UACGUAGGGUGCAAGCGUUGUCCGGAAUUAUUGGGCGUAAAGAGCUCGUAGGUGGCCUGUCGCGUCGGCUGUGAAAACUCGGGGCUCAACUCCGAGCUUGCAGUCGAUACGGGCAGGCUAGAGUUCGGCAGGGGGAGACUGGAAUUCCUGGUGUAGCGGUGAAAUGCGCAGAUAUCAGGAGGAACACCGGUGGCGAAGGCGGGUCUCUGGGCCGAUACUGACACUGAGGAGCGAAAGCGUGGGGAGCGAAC
RNAcentral lists this ribosomal RNA (251 nucleotides) under uncultured bacterium. RNAcentral describes it as "partial 16S ribosomal RNA". It matches the Rfam family "Bacterial small subunit ribosomal RNA", at positions 524 to 773 of the family's 1533-position model. The record is from RNAcentral.